RNAcentral lists this long non-coding RNA (3793 nucleotides) under Homo sapiens (human). Its description in RNAcentral is "HSALNT0286356". The record is from RNAcentral. Lineage: Eukaryota; Metazoa; Chordata; Mammalia; Primates; Hominidae.
CCGGCUAAUUUUUUGUAUUUUUUAGUAGAGACGGAGUUUCACCAUGUUAGCCAGGAUGAUAUCGAUCUCCUGACCUUGUGAUUCGCCCGCCUCAGCCUCCCAAAGUGCUGGGAUUACAGGCAUGAGCCACCGCACCCAGCCGAUCUUUGUUUCAUUAAGUAAUGUUUCUCUUUGUCUCUAGCAAUUAAAGUCUACUUUAUCUGAUAUUAUUAUGGCCACUCCUACUUUUGCAAAUGCAAAUGUGCUUUGAGUAUCUUUUCCCAUCCUUUUAUUUUCAGCCUACUUACAUGUAUCAUUGUAUUUGCAGUGUAUAGUAUUUGUAGAUAGCAUGUAGUUGGAUCAUGUAUUUUUUAAUUGGUUCUGCCAAUCUGUUUUCAUUACUGAGUUUAGACCAUUUACGCUUAGAGAAGUAAUUACUGGUAUGUUAGAGCUUAAAUCUGCCAUUUUAUUUGUUUUCUGUUAUUUCCCCUGUUUCUCAUUCCUCUAUUUCCCUUUUCUUGCCUUCCUGUGGGCUACUUGAACAUUGUUAGAAGUUUAUCUUGAUUUAUUUAUAAUGUUUUGAAUAUAUCACUUCGUAUAGUUUUCUUAAUAGUUGCUCUAGGAAUUACAAAAUAUAUAUAUAGUUUACCACAACCUACUGGUAUUAAUAUUUUACCACUUUGAAUAAAGUGUAGAAGCCUUAUUUCCAUUUAUGUCCCUUUGCACUUCCCACUUCUAAAAUGUAAUUGUUUUAGAAGAGGGAAAAAAUAGAUACUGAGGCCUACUUGAGGGUGGAGAAUGAGAGGAAGGUUAGGGUCAAAAAACUACCUAUCAUGUACUAUGCUCUCUACCUGGGUAACAAAAUUAUUUGCACACCAAACCCCAUCAAUGCACAAUUUGCACAUGUAACAAACCUACACAUAUGCCCCCAAACCUAAAAUACAAUUUGAAAGGGAAAAAUAAAAUAUAAUUGUCUUAAAUAUUUCCUUUACAUGUAUUCACCACCACAUCAGAUGCUCUUAUACUUUUUGCUUCAACCAUCAAAUAUGAUUUAAGAAACUCAAGAAAAAUAGAAUAGUCUAUUAUAUUUAUCCCUAUUUUUAUCCAUUCUUAUGGGUUUUUUUUCCCUUCUGAAGUUCUAAGCCUACUUCUGUUAUCAUUUCCUUUCUGCGUAGAUAACUUCUUUUAGCCAUUCCUUAAGAUAGGUUUGUUAGCAACACAUUUUUAGUUUUCCUUCAUCUCAGAAUGUCUCUAUUUCUUCUUCAUUGAUGAAAGAUAUUUUCAUUAGGUAUAGAAUUCACAGUUGACAAUUUGUUUCUUAAAAGAAAAUGCUAAAGCACUUAAAAAAUGCUGCACCUCUUCCUUCGGGCCUCCAUCGUUUCAAAUUCACAUUCAAAUUGGUGUUCUCCUGUAAAUAAUGUUUCUUUUAUCUCUGACUGCUUUCAAGAAUUUUUGUCUUUGUCAUUAGUUUUCAGAAGUUUAACUAUAAUGUGUCAUAGAUAGAUAGAUGAUAGAUAGAUAGAUACAUAGAUAGAUAGAUAGAUAGAUAGAUAGAUAGAUAGAUAGAUAGAUAGAUGAUAGAUAACGUGGAGACAGAGCAUGAACUAGGUACAGUCUCAGUCCUUCAUAUAUUUUCAUUCUACUGAGCUUCUUGGCAGCAGACACUAUGUUUUACUCACUGUUUUAUCAGUGUACUCACUGUCAGGAACCAGCAGAGUCUGGCAUAGAGUGGGCACUCAAUAAAUGUUGGCUGACUGAAUGAGAAGGUAGAAACAAAUAAGUAGAAGAAAGAGAGAAAGAGGAAGAGGAGGGCGAGAGAGAUAAUGAGCCCAAGACAGAGAAGAGAAAGACAAGGAGAAAUGUAUUGAGCCCUUGAAGAAACCAAGUGUUCUACAUGGGACUGGGGGUGGUAUGCCUAGGGGAAGGAGGGUCACAGUGUCUAUAAAGGAGAUAGAUGUAAAAGUCAGUCCUAUGGCCCUAAUAAAAACUACACAAUUACUCAUCGAAGUUUGUUGAACAGAAAUCAGUACGAUCACAGCUACCAUGGACAAAGCUUGAUAUAUUUUGGUUUAGUUUAAAUGAGGGGUAUUGGUUUCAAAGAGAUAUUAAAUUUCGACUCUAAGGGGCUGAAGUCUCGUGUGCCUGUGCGUCUGGUGAGGCUUAGCGGUCACCACUCCCCACUCACCCGCUGCCCACCCCACCUCCGAGGGUGACGCCCCUUGAGGACGUCAGCUCUCCAGCCUAGAAGGCAGCAUUGUGAGGGGCGUGGCCUAGAGGACGUUCUACUCUGGCCACCACGAUCUUGGCAGCCCACACCUGAUCAGGACCUAAAGCGUGAAGGGUGUGAAUGAGGAGAAACGAGGACCGCCUGCUACCCCAGCGUCUGGCCCCCUGGGGACUGAAGGCUGGCUCUGGAGCUGUACCUCGGCAACUGCUAUAAGGCUGCCGAAGCCGCCGCCACUAAGGCGGCCGCCAGCAGCCUGAAUGCAGGCAAGAAGCAGUGCCGCACCGUUAUAUGUCCCUUGAAGGAGUUGAGUAAAUACAGGCAGUAUGUGACUAGUUUAAAAUUAGACUUUGAAAGAAACUGUAUAAGAGAACAAGGUUUCACUCCAAUCACCCAGGCUGGAGUGCAGUGGGAUGCUCUCAGUUCACUGCAGCAUCAACUUCCCGAGCUCAGCAGGAAAGCAGAGUGUACUCAAGAUGAAAGAAAAAAAAAGACGAUAUGAAGACUGUUGCGGGAAGUCAGGGACCCCGAACAGAGGGACCAGCUGGAGCCGUGGCAGAGGAACAUGAAUUGUGAACAUUUCAUGGACAUUUAUCAGUUCCCAAAUAAUACUUUUAUAAUUUCUUAUGCCUGUCUUUACUUUAAUCUUUAAUCCUGUUCUCUUCAUAAAUUGAGAAUGUACAUCACCUCAGGACCACUGUGAUAAUUGUGUUAACUGUACAAAUUGAUUGUAAAAUCUGUGUUUGAACAAUAUGAAAUCAGUGCACCUUGAAAAAGAACAGAAUUAGGGAAAAAGGGAAGACAACCAUAAGGUCUGACUGCCUGUGGGGUUGGGCAAAAAGAGCCAUAUUUUUCUUCUUGCAGAGAGCCUAUAAACAGACAUGCAAGUAGGAGAGAUAUCGCUAAAUUCUUUUCCUAGCAAGGAAUAUUAAUAUUAAUACCCUGGGAAAGGAAUGCAUUCCUGGGGGGAGGUCUAUAAACGGCUGCUCUGGGAGGGUCUGUCUUAUGCAGUUGAGAUAAGGACUGAGAUACACCCUGGUCUCCUGCAGUACCCUCAGGCUUAUUAGGGUGGGGAAAAACUCUGCCCUGGUAAAUUUGUGGUCAGACAAGUUCUCUGCUCUCCAUCCCUGUUUUCUGUUGUUUAAGAUGUUUAUCAAGACAAUAUGUGCACCGGUGAACAUAGACCCUUAUCAGUAGUUCCGCUUUUGCCUUUUGCCUUUUGCCUUGUUAUCUUUGUUGGACCCUUAUCAGUAGUUCUCCUUUUUGCCCUUUGAAGCAUGUGAUCUACCCCCUAUUCUUAUACCCGCUCCCCUUUUGAAGCCCUUAAUAAAAGACUUGCUGGUUUGAGGCUCAGGUGGGCAUCACAGUCCUACCAAUAUGUGAUGUCACCCCUGGCAGCCCAGCUGUAAAAUUCCUCUCUUUGUACUCUUUCUCUUUAUUUCUCAGCCGGCCAACACUUAUGGAAAAUAGAAAGAACCUAUGUUGAAAUAUUGGGGGCAGGUUCCCCCAAUACAGGACCACAUAAGAAGAAAUCUUGAUCUCUGUAGACAAAUUGAAGAGGUGAGUAACACUGGAUUUUAAAUAUUAAGG